AGUGAACGCUGGCGGUAGGCCUAACACAUGCAAGUCGAACGGCAGCACAGUAAGAGCUUGCUCUUACGGGUGGCGAGUGGCGGACGGGUGAGGAAUACAUCGGAAUCUACUUUUUCGUGGGGGAUAACGUAGGGAAACUUACGCUAAUACCGCAUACGACCUACGGGGGAAAGCAGGGGAUCUUCGGACCUUGCGCGAUUGAAUGAGCCGAUGUCGGAUUAGCUAGUUGGCGGGGUAAAGGCCCACCAAGGCGACGAUCCGUAGCUGGUCUGAGAGGAUGAUCAUCCACACUGGAACUGAGACACGGUCCAGACUCCUACGGGAGGCAGCAGUGGGGAAUAUUGGACAAUGGGCGCAAGCCUGAUCCAGCCAUACCGCGUGGGUGAAGAAGGCCUUCGGGUUGUAAAGCCCUUUUGUUGGGAAAGAAAAGCAGCAGGUUAAUACCCCGCUGUUCUGACGGUACCCAAAGAAUAAGCACCGGCUAACUUCGUG
RNAcentral lists this ribosomal RNA (492 nucleotides) under uncultured bacterium. Its description in RNAcentral is "partial 16S ribosomal RNA". It matches the Rfam family "Bacterial small subunit ribosomal RNA", at positions 29 to 507 of the family's 1533-position model. The record is from RNAcentral.